This 330-nucleotide ribosomal RNA is filed under the name uncultured bacterium. Its description in RNAcentral is "bacterial SSU rRNA". It matches the Rfam family "Bacterial small subunit ribosomal RNA", at positions 568 to 898 of the family's 1533-position model. The record is from RNAcentral.
UUCGUAGGCGGUGCGGCAAGUCGGGAGUGAAAUCUCUGGGCUUAACUCAGAGGCUGCUUCCGAAACUGCCGUGCUCGAGUGUGGGAGAGGCGCGUGGAAUUGCAGGUGUAGCGGUGAAAUGCGUAGAUAUCUGCAGGAACACCCGUGGCGAAAGCGGCGCGCUGGACCACAACUGACGCUGAGGAACGAAAGCUAGGGGAGCAAACAGGAUUAGAUACCCUGGUAGUCCUAGCCCUAAACGAUCAGGACUUGGGGUGCCUUCCGUCCGGAAGUCGUCCCGGAGCUAACGCGUUAAGUCCUGCACCUGGGGAGUACGGUCGCAAGACUGAA